RNAcentral lists this long non-coding RNA (5727 nucleotides) under Gallus gallus (chicken). RNAcentral describes it as "lncRNA (ENSGALG00010023645.1)". The record is from RNAcentral. Lineage: Eukaryota; Metazoa; Chordata; Aves; Galliformes; Phasianidae.
GCCGAGUUAAAACACAAAUAUUGUCUUACAGCGGGUUUAAGGCGGGGAGUCGCGUUUAAGCCUUCCUGAAUGGCACGCACGCACGCAAAGAGGAAAGAAAAAAAAAAAAAGAAAAAAAAAAGAGAGAAAACCCUUCCACUCUGGAAACUGAGAGCAGGCAAAUAUCCUCCCUGCUGAAUUGCUGUUAUUAAAUAGGGGGAAACCACCCCGCAACGAGCGCGCUCCGGAGCGCGUGGUGCCUCCGAGUGCCGCGGCGCGUUGCGGGGCCGGGAGACCUGCGGGCGGGCGGGGGCCGCAGCCCCGCGGCGUUCACCUCGGCCCCGGCCCCGCCGCCACCCAGGUAAAAGAAAACUAUGGGCAAUGUCUGAUAAUGCGCCUGUCCUCUACUCAGACUUGCCCCCUUCAAUGACUAGAGUCACUUCUCAAUGACUGGAGGCUCUGCAGAGUGGGGAAGUGAAAACCAGAACCCGCCUCUCCGAAGAUAAAGUUGAAAAAAAGCAAAUGAGCAAAAACAAACAAACAAACAAAAAAUACUCCCUUAACCUGGUACGUGAAAGACACAGCUUGCCAGAGUGGAAUUCAUGUACCUCCUGAAAUAUUUAAGACACCUGCAGUGAGAUUAUUUUUCCUCUUUUAAUUUGAAGAACCUGCAUUUCUCAGUUCUGAGGCAUUUCUCUGGCGGUAAUGUGUGCCAAAUAACUGGCAGUCUGGCACAACAGCACUUAUAUUCCAAGUAUUAUAAAAGAUAGAUAACAAGAAACCUGUUGCUUUUCUUUUCAGGGGAACUGAACCAUGAAUCUUAUAUGGCAUCAGUAGGUACAGAUAUAAACCCCUCUCCACUGUUUUUCUCUGCUUCUGUGACAUAAAAUUAAGGCCCAAAUUCUACAAAAUAUUUAACAGGAAAAAUCUCACAGCCCAAAAGCUCUCCUGAGGCAGUAUUUGCAUACAAUUUGUUGCAAGAUUAGGAUCAGAGGUUUUUUUCUCCCUAUUUUUCUACCUCAUUGGGUGUUAUUCUGGCAUUGCUAUGUUUUUCCAUUUACAUUGUUUUGACUAGAGUCAAAAUUGUUGUUACAUUUUAAGUCAGUGUCUGCUCUACUAAUUGAUGGGCUGCUAAAGAUCAGCCACGGAGAGUUAGAUUUCAGAGCAAGAAUCUGGCUCACAGAAGAAGUGAUUACAUGAGAUAUGUAAGGACCAAAGCCUGUAAGACCGAUUCAAACCCUAAAUGAUUUGACCAAGAGUACAAGGCUGUGAUACAUUCACAGUGAAAAUAUGGCACCUGGUCACAGUGUCUGGCUUCCACUUCUUCCAUCCAACUUUAGCUGUCCUCCUUUUGCAGAGGUCAAAGCAUUGUAUAAAUAUCAGUUAAGCAGAGUAAAAUCAGCUCCUUUAAAAUAUUUAGCUACCAUCUACCAGUGCUUUAUAAUAUGAAGAACAUACCUCUGCUCUCCUGGAACAUGGCAGGAAGCAGAAGUUUCUCUUUUGAAGGCAAUGAAGUUCCUCUGCAUCUGACUUCCAAGCAGUGUCUAACCUUGCUAUAUAUUUUAAUCUAACAGUAAGAUUUUUACUUCAGAACUUGUUUUCAUUCUGAAUCUGAGAGAGAAAGUGGGCACACUGUAGAUUUCUUGUAAAAAAUUUGUAUAACCAUGCUUAUCAAAUUUUAAACAGUAGCACCAGUAUUGCAAUACUUACUUUACCAUUAUAUUAAAAACAAAAGCAACUGAAAGGAAAGUCAGCACGAAAAGUUUUCCUCUUAUCAGAGUAAAUGAGAAUAUUGAUAUAAUGCAUUUCUGCUCUCUGCCUUUUAAAAUGGCAUUGAAAGCAACACAUUCUUACAAUAAAGUUUGCAUUUCACUCAAAGUGCAUUUUCCAACUGGAAAGUGUAAAGGCGAAUAUUUCAGGAUUGGUCCUACUUGAUGGUGCUUUGCAAAUACUCUCUAUUAACCUGAAUGACUGCGUAAGGUAGAGGAAAUCGGUAAACCUGGCCCUCUGAGAGCAGAGGAGCAAGUUGUUAAUGUUAAUGGGUAUCAAUUCACAUAUAUUUGCUUACAGAGAUCUGUGGCAGCUCUGAGUGUUUCACUGUGUCCAAUUUCUUCUUGCAUAAAUAAAGAAGAGCAUGAAUACUUGAAAAGAUGAAGGCUUCUCUGGAGCAGAAGAGCCAGAACUACUACAAGGAAAUUCUUGUGCUUCUUUAAUUACCCUCCUUUGCCCAUAGGUGGAAUUUCCACUCGGACAGCCCCAGCAAGCAGACUGCUAGCCUGGGAAGAGAUGUCUGUUUGUCUUUGUACAGCAAACACUGGCUGUGUUGUGCAGCUCAAGCUUCUGAUUCAAAUGAUUUCCUGAAUUCAUUCUGCUUCAUACCUCAGGGAAGGAAGAGGUGAUCCUCUUGAAAAUUCAUAUAAUUGCUUUUAUUUGAUUUUUAUUAAACCUCAUUCAAGAAUAAUGUGAUGGCUUUCUUUAUUACAUUGUUCAUCACUGCGGCAUUUUUUGAAUUUACUUUGCUAAAAGAAGCAGUUUACUAAGCCAAAGAUUGAAUUCAAGGAUUUUUGCAGAGAGAAAGCUGAGAGCUUUUUUCAAGUUCCUUUGAUUUCAAAGACUUUUGUAACAUUGAUACCCAUCUAAGAUUAUCUCUGCUUUUAUUCUCUAGUAGCUUGAACAUCUCUCCAGGCCUGAGCAGUCAGGCCAUUCUGCAGUGUGCCAUGUGUGUGUGCUGGGAUUCAGCAGGGCCAGCUGUGCCGCAGCUUCAACCCAGCUCGGCCUGAGUGCCAGGGAGCUGCCAGAGUGCCCAACCCACUCCCCUCCCCAUACCAGCCGUCCCACCACCUGCUUAGGCUGCCUCUUGCUGCCAUGCUGAUGGCAGUGGACAAAGGGAAAGGCUGCAGCUGUAGUGUGGAAAGCUACAGCAAGGAGUGGGUUCAUUGACCCCCCUCUAAAUUCUUUGUAGCUGCCACAGAGAUUGCUCCCAUUUUAAAAUUGGGAUGACUGAUGCAGAGAAGCAAAGUAAAUAAUCUGCACUUAGCAUGAAUAAAAGUAGCCGAGCAAUUAAAAUUCAGAACUGGCAACUUCAUGUCACUAGCAUCAAGCUAUACAGAUUUGGAAAAUUUGAUCUAUUUACCUCUUUGCCACUGGUGUGACAUCAUCUACUGUCCAUCAGUAACUCACACACAGAGCUACCUGAAGUGCAAUUUUAUGAGACUUUUUAAAGAGAAUUAUUUUUGGUCAUUUAAAGAUAGGUGUUUAGGAACAUGAGAAUGUUCAUAUAUUAUUAUAGCAAUUUUCCCCUCUUUUCCAUUUUAUCACAGGAAAUAACAUCUCAAAACACUAUGAGUACUUUGUAGAAGGUUCUUUUUUAUCUUAAAAAGUUUUUAACAAGAGUCCAGUCAUCUUAGUUAAUCCCUUUAAGCCAUGUCAAUAUUUAUUCUUAAGUAGAGUUUCAAAUAUUAGAGCAGCUGCACUCAGCUUAAUAGGGACAAUUCCCAUUGACUGGGAAUUAUGGCCAAGUACUGCAGGGGCUGACCUUGAGUCCUCAGGCCUACAGUUUAAAUGGCAAUAAGGGUGGCGGUGUGUCUGUUGGUUUAUGCCUCUGUCCGUAGGUAAGCACAAACCCCAGGGCUGCUUAAGGACCCUUAAUAAGCACUGCAGCUACUUCCCAGGGCUCUGGAAACCCUGUGUGAGGUGAGGCAUGUAUUUUUUAUGCUACUGGCAUCUAGACUUCUGUUUUCUAACAGUGACAGAAUAAUGGCAAUGGAUUUGGGAUAAAAGACAGGCAGAUGUACCACCAUUUCAUCAUAUAGUUACUCCUCAUCCCUCUUUCCUAAGGCAAGAAACAGGUUACUUCAUAUCACAUGGAGUACCUUGCCUUUGCCCCUCUCUCAGGGCAGGUGUGUUUGAGUCAGAGAACUUCGCUGUUCCAAGAGUCAGCUGGCAUUACGCUCUCUAAGACCCUCCAAAAGAGUGCUCUGCUCACAACCUCUAAAUUAAACUGAUCACCAGUUUUCUGGGCAGGAUUUUUUCUUCCAUUUAAAAGUUCUCUUUUUCUUUGCUUUAUUUCCGACAACACAAAACACAGUUGCUGUCUAUAGCCAUAGGGAAGUUUUAUUCAGUAAGUCCUCUGCUACCGUGGUGACACAGGAUUUUCAUGGUAGUACUGAUUCCUUUGUUGUCUUUCUGUGGUACUACAUUACAGCUAUGGCUUUUUUUUCUUUCCUUUUCCUUUUCCUUUUCCUUUUCCUUUUCCUUUUCCUUUUCCUUUUCCUUUUCCUUUUCCUUUUCCUUUUCCUUUUCCUUUUCCUUUUCCUUUUCCUUUUCCUUUUCCUUUUCCUUUUCCUUUUCCUUUUCCUUUUUUUCCAAGCAGAGGUUUUAUUUCUCCUGAGGAACAUUAAGAAGUAUUUCCCUCCCUGGGGAUGUGGAUUCUCCAUUCUGAAGAAGCCUGGGUCAUUGGAUGUCUCUUGCACAGAGAACACUUCGGAUGUCUCCGCCAGUGUUCCCAGAAAAGGGAGAUGUUUCCUGUCUGGUAGUACAGAGCAGCUGAUCAUUUCCAUGUUAUGCUGAACACAAAAACUGGACCCACUCUCAUAGUCCUCAGUGUGGGGCACCAUGUGAAUACAAAGAAGACAAUGACUGAAGGAGUUUUAAUCUUCCCUGGCCUCUCAGAUACCUUGGGGGACUCCUGGCCUUGGACCCCCUGCUCCCUGUCAUUUUUCUGACCACUUCUGGUGGGAUCCUGUGCUGUUUGCACUUAAAGUUACUGAAGUGAACCGAAAAUUGUAAGUCUCCAGCAAAGAUUAAAUGGCACAAAAAGGUGAGUAAAUAUAAACAGUGAAGUGAAAGAAGGUGGCUAGGCUUGAGAGCAGCAAGUACUAAAUGAUGUAUUUCAUAAGACCUUGAGCCUGCACUUUCCUAACAUGUUUUUAUAACAUGAUUCUAAAGGCUCCAUCUGCUUAACUUUUUCCUUCCAGAUUAAUGAUUGUUUUAGGACAACUCAGAUUUGGUUACUGUUAGCUCUAACAUUUUCAGAGAGGCUGACUUCCCCAUCAUGCAAUAAAUUGCUAGGAUAUAUGGUGCAUGCAGAGAACUUUCUGGUCCAAACUGGAACAAUCUCUCUGCAUAGACACAUUUACUUUUCAUUAAAAACAAAACAAAACAAAAACCUGUAGAUAAUUCCAUGCUUUUCACAGUAUUAACUUCACAGACAAAAACAAAAAAUCGAAGUGUUAACCCUGUCUCUUUUAUGUCUUCCAGUGUUCAAUUCCAUUCUGGUAAAGGUUUGCUACAAUUAAUCAUUUUUACAACUAUUUUAGGCUUAAAUCCCUUAAAAAACGUUCUGGAUCUGGAAUCUGACUAAAUCAGAAAUGAAAUAAAAUAUUUCCCAUUGCUUCCUGCUGAUGCUGAAGAUUUUGCAUAUUAGUCUAAUGUAACCUUGUAGUGUUGAGGUGUCCUCCAGGCUGGCUCUGGAGACCCCGCCGGCUGCUGCAGCUGCUGUGACUCCUGCUGCACUAAGAGCUUUUACAUCUGAGUGCUCUGCAGUAUAAAUGGGCAGCAACACUGCUUCUUUGCUUGGUCUCCCUGGAACAACUCUAAAAUAAACCCGCAUAUAUCAAAUAAACUCUGUGUGUUCUUUCUGUCACAGUGUUUGCCAUCUGGAACAGUUUCCUUAGGGCUGGAGAAUCUUUUUCCUGAAGACUGCACCCCCACCAGGCUACUGAAGCAUGUUUGUCUUUUCGUGUCUCC